Non-coding RNA from Potamilus streckersoni, 77 nucleotides. Lineage: Eukaryota; Metazoa; Mollusca; Bivalvia; Unionida; Unionidae. The record is from the annotation of a GenBank genome assembly.
GACCGCUCCGGUUGCCUAGUGGUUAGAUCGUUCGCCUCGGAUGCGGGAGGUCAUGGGUCCAAUCCCCAGCUGAGUCA